RNAcentral lists this ribosomal RNA (253 nucleotides) under uncultured bacterium. RNAcentral's name for it is "partial 16S ribosomal RNA". It matches the Rfam family "Bacterial small subunit ribosomal RNA", at positions 524 to 776 of the family's 1533-position model. The record is from RNAcentral.
UACAGGGAAUGCAAACGUUGCUCGGAAUCAUUGAACGUAAAGCGCACGUAGACGGUCUGUUAUGUCGGAUGUGAAAACCCUCGGCUCAACUGAGGAAGUGCAUCCGAAACUGGCAGGCUAGAGUACUAAAGAGGAUCGCGGAAUUCCCGGUGUAGAGGUGAAAUUCGUAGAUAUCGGGAGGAACACCGAUGGCGAAGGCGGCGACCUGGGCCGACACUGACGCUGUAGAGCGAAAGCGUGGGGAGCGAACAGG